AGAGUUUGAUCCUGGCUCAGGAUGAACGCUAGCUACAGGCUUAACACAUGCAAGUCGAGGGGAAACGACAUCGAAAGCUUGCUUUUGAUGGGCGUCGACCGGCGCACGGGUGAGUAACGCGUAUCCAACCUGCCCAUCACUUGGGGAUAACCUUGCGAAAGUAAGACUAAUACCCAAUGACGUCUCUAGAAGACAUCUGAAAGAGAUUAAAGAUUUAUCGGUGAUGGAUGGGGAUGCGUCUGAUUAGCUUGUUGGCGGGGUAACGCCCACAAGGCGACGAUCAGGUAGGGGUUCUGAGAGGGAACGGUCCCCCANAUUGGAACUGAGACACGGUCCCAAAUCCGUACGGGAGCA
This 354-nucleotide ribosomal RNA is filed under the name uncultured bacterium. RNAcentral describes it as "bacterial SSU rRNA". It matches the Rfam family "Bacterial small subunit ribosomal RNA", at positions 8 to 350 of the family's 1533-position model. The record is from RNAcentral.